This 874-nucleotide ribosomal RNA is filed under the name uncultured bacterium. Its description in RNAcentral is "bacterial SSU rRNA". It matches the Rfam family "Bacterial small subunit ribosomal RNA", at positions 10 to 917 of the family's 1533-position model. The record is from RNAcentral.
AGUUUGAUCAUGGCUCAGAACGAACGCUGGCGGCAGGCCUAACACAUGCAAGUCGAGCGACCUCUUCGGAGGGAGCGGCGCACGGGUGAGUAACGCGUGGGUAUCUACCCCUAGGUAUGGAAUAACUUCUGGAAACGGACAUUAAUACCGUAUAAUCCCUUCUAGCUGGCGCUGGUUGGGCAAAGAUUCAUCGCCAAAGGAUGAGCCCGCGUUAGAUUAGCUAGUUGGUGAGGUAAGAGCUCACCAAGGCGACGAUCUAUAGCUGGUCUGAGAGGAUGAUCAGCCACACUGGGACUGAGACACGGCCCAGACUCCUACGGGAGGCAGCAGUGAGGAAUAUUGCGCAAUGGGGGAAACCCUGACGCAGCCAUGCCGCGUGAGUGAAGAAGGCCUUCGGGUUGUUAAACUCUUUCAGUAGUGAAGAUGAUGACGGUAACUACAGAAGAAGCUCCGGCUAACUUCGUGCCAGCAGCCGCGGUAAUACGAAGGGGGCGAGCGUUGUUCGGAAUCACUGGGCGUAAAGCGUACGUAGGCGGUUAUGAAAGUCAGAAGUGAAAGCCCAGGGCUCAACCCUGGAAUUGCUUUUGAAACUCCAUAACUAGAGACCCGGAGAGGUUGACGGAAUUCCAAGUGUAGAGGUGAAAUUCGCAGAUAUUUGGAGGAACACCAGUGGCGUAGGCGGUCAACUGGACGGGUACUGACGCUGAGGUACGAAAGCGUGGGGAGCAAACAGGAUUAGAUACCCUGGUAGUCCACGCCGUAAACGAUGUAUGCUAGCUGUUGGAGUCUUAAGGCUUCAGUAGCGCAGCUAACGCAAUAAGCAUACCGCCUGGGGAGUACGGUCGCAAGAUUAAAACUCAAAGGAAUUGACGGG